GUGAAAUUAAUCACAAACAUAUACCCCUUUGUUUGACCGUGAAAAAUUUCUCCCAUCCCCUUGUUGUCUUAAUGACAACGAGAAAGACCCAGCAAAUUUGCUGGGUCUUUCUU
This 113-nucleotide small RNA is filed under the name Priestia endophytica. RNAcentral's name for it is "Bacillus endophyticus RNA Staph. aureus E (RoxS)". It matches the Rfam family "RNA Staph. aureus E (RoxS)". Rfam says of the family: It was shown to be regulated by the presence of nitric oxide (NO). In Bacillus subtilis it controls expression of genes with functions related to oxidative stress and oxidation-reduction reactions and it was renamed RoxS (for related to oxidative stress). RNAcentral also lists the same sequence under 2 other names. Lineage: Bacteria; Bacillati; Bacillota; Bacilli; Caryophanales; Bacillaceae. The record is from Rfam by way of RNAcentral.